UACACAUGCAAGUCGAACGAUGAAGCCCAGCUUGCUGGGUGGAUUAGUGGCGAACGGGUGAGUAACACGUGAGUAACCUGCCCUUAACUCUGGGAUAAGCCUGGGAAACUGGGUCUAAUACCGGAUAGGAGCGCCUACCGCAUGGUGGGUGUUGGAAAGAUUUAUCGGUUUUGGAUGGACUCGCGGCCUAUCAGCUUGUUGGUGAGGUAAUGGCUCACCAAGGCGACGACGGGUAGCCGGCCUGAGAGGGUGACCGGCCACACUGGGACUGAGACACGGCCCAGACUCCUACGGGAGGCAGCAGUGGGGAAUAUUGCACAAUGGGCGCAAGCCUGAUGCAGCGACGCCGCGUGAGGGAUGACGGCCUUCGGGUUGUAAACCUCUUUCAGUAGGGAAGAAGCGAAAGUGACGGUACCUGCAGAAGAAGCACCGGCUAACUACGUGCCAGCAGCCGCGGUAAUACGUAGGGUGCGAGCGUUAUCCGGAAUUAUUGGGCGUAAAGAGCUCGUAGGCGGUUUGUCGCGUCUGUCGUGAAAGUCCGGGGCUUAACCCCGGAUCUGCGGUGGGUACGGGCAGACUAGAGUGCAGUAGGGGAGACUGGAAUUCCUGGUGUAGCGGUGGAAUGCGCAGAUAUCAGGAGGAACACCGAUGGCGAAGGCAGGUCUCUGGGCUGUAACUGACGCUGAGGAGCGAAAGCAUGGGGAGCGAACAGGAUUAGAUACCCUGGUAGUCCAUGCCGUAAACGUUGGGCACUAGGUGUGGGGACCAUUCCACGGUUUCCGCGCCGCAGCUAACGCAUUAAGUGCCCCGCCUGGGGAGUACGGCCGCAAGGCUAAACUCA
This 841-nucleotide ribosomal RNA is filed under the name Micrococcus sp. RNAcentral describes it as "bacterial SSU rRNA". It matches the Rfam family "Bacterial small subunit ribosomal RNA", at positions 50 to 903 of the family's 1533-position model. The record is from RNAcentral. Lineage: Bacteria; Bacillati; Actinomycetota; Actinomycetes; Micrococcales; Micrococcaceae.